GUGCAGGGAUGAACGAAUCAGAAAGACGUGCUGAAGGAUCUGCUGUCUGAUGACAGAAAUAGGGAGCUGAAGAUGAUGCCAGAGUUGAUCUUGAAACUAUACCAGGAGAGCCUUUCUUCUGUCUGCUUCAUACGGUCCCUCCACUCUCAUUCUCCAAUAGGAAGCUCCGUGUGUUGUCCUGGGAUCUCGUCCUCAUUUCUUGAAGAGACGGACUGCAUUUCCCGCAGCCUCAAGUAACUUUUCUUCUGCUCUCCUUCAUCUGAGAGAAGCUUAUAGUGUUCUUCUUGGAAAACCACAUGAAACAAGGU
This 308-nucleotide long non-coding RNA is filed under the name Capra hircus (goat). Its description in RNAcentral is "lncRNA (ENSCHIG00000002664.1)". The record is from RNAcentral. Lineage: Eukaryota; Metazoa; Chordata; Mammalia; Artiodactyla; Bovidae.